GCCAGGCAUGGUGGCACAUGCCUGUAGUCCCAGCUACUCAGGAGGCUGAGGCAGGAGAAUCGCUUGAACCCUGGAGGCUGAGGUUGCAGUGAGCCAAGAUCACACCACUGCAUUCCAGCCUGGGUGACAGAGUGAGACUCUGUCUCAA
Papio anubis (olive baboon) is the source of this 148-nucleotide unclassified non-coding RNA. It matches the Rfam family "Metazoan signal recognition particle RNA". Rfam says of the family: The signal recognition particle (SRP) is a universally conserved ribonucleoprotein. It is involved in the co-translational targeting of proteins to membranes. The record is from Ensembl. Lineage: Eukaryota; Metazoa; Chordata; Mammalia; Primates; Cercopithecidae.